Molecule: transfer RNA, 77 nt
Filed under: Burkholderiales bacterium
Lineage: Bacteria; Pseudomonadati; Pseudomonadota; Betaproteobacteria; Burkholderiales
Also listed under: 3 other names
Description: tRNA-Pro
Rfam family: tRNA
About the family: Transfer RNA (tRNA) molecules are approximately 80 nucleotides in length. Their secondary structure includes four short double-helical elements and three loops (D, anti-codon, and T loops).
Source: RNAcentral
CGGGGUGUAGCGCAGCCCGGUAGCGCGCCUGGUUUGGGACCAGGAUGUCGUAGGUUCGAAUCCUAUCACCCCGACCA